This 497-nucleotide ribosomal RNA is filed under the name uncultured bacterium. Its description in RNAcentral is "partial 16S ribosomal RNA". It matches the Rfam family "Bacterial small subunit ribosomal RNA", at positions 28 to 507 of the family's 1533-position model. The record is from RNAcentral.
GACGAACGCUGGCGGCGUGCCUAAUACAUGCAAGUAGAACGCUGAAGAGAGGAGCUUACUCUUCUUGGAUGAGUUGCGAACGGGUGAGUAACGCGUAGGUAACCUGCCUUGUAGCGGGGGAUAACUAUUGGAAACGAUAGCUAAUACCGCAUAACAAUGGAUGACACAUGUCAUUUAUUUGAAAGGGGCAAUUGCUCCACUACAAGAUGGACCUGCGUUGUAUUAGCUAGUAGGUGAGGUAAUGGCUCACCUAGGCGACGAUACAUAGCCGACCUGAGAGGGUGAUCGGCCACACUGGGACUGAGACACGGCCCAGAAUCCUGCGGGAGGCAGCAGUAGGGAAUCUUCGGCAAUGGGGGCAACCCUGACCGAGCAACGCCGCGUGAGUGAAGAAGGUUUUCGGAUCGUAAAGCUCUGUUGUAAGUCAAGAACGGGUGUGAGAGUGGAAAGUUCACACUGUGACGGUAGCUUACCAGAAAGGGACGGCUAACUACGUG